This 497-nucleotide ribosomal RNA is filed under the name uncultured bacterium. RNAcentral's name for it is "partial 16S ribosomal RNA". It matches the Rfam family "Bacterial small subunit ribosomal RNA", at positions 28 to 507 of the family's 1533-position model. The record is from RNAcentral.
GAUGAACGCUGGCGGCGUGCCUAAUACAUGCAAGUCGAGCGAACGGACGAGAAGCUUGCUUCUCUGAUGUUAGCGGCGGACGGGUGAGUAACACGUGGAUAACCUACCUAUAAGACUGGGAUAACUUCGGGAAACCGUAGCUAAUACCGGAUAAUAUUUUGAACCGCAUGGUUCAAAAGUGAAAGAAGGUCUUGCUGUCACUUAUAGAUGGAUCCGCGCUGCAUUAGCUAGUUGGUAAGGUAACGGCUUACCAAGGCAACGAUGCAUAGCCGACCUGAGAGGGUGAUCGGCCACACUGGAACUGAGACACGGUCCAGACUCCUACGGGAGGCAGCAGUAGGGAAUCUUCCGCAAUGGGCGAAAGCCUGACGGAGCAACUCCGCGUGAGUGAUGAAGGUCUUCGGAUCGUAAAACUCUGUUAUUAGGGAAGAACAUAUGUGUAAGUAACUGUGCACAUCUUGACGGUACCUAAUCAGAAAGCCACGGCUAACUACGUG